GGAGGGAGAGAGGGGGAGGGAGGAAGGGAGGGAGGGAGAGAGGGAGAGAAGUCUGGCUCACCAGAACCCAUCUCCCAGGCUCUACAGUAAUGCCACAUAGCUGAAAGAGUGCAUCAAUCCGGGGGAGGAAAAGAAGGCUCCAGGCUGCAUGUCAAGUCUAUCAAAGCCAUCAGCUCACACCCGGGGCGCACAACUGGAUCACACAUGUGUGGUGGGGCUUCUGGAGACUGAAGUCCAAAGAGGUUGCGUGACCUUUGAAGAGUCACACAGCCAGCGCACUGAAGAAUGGGGACAAGUCCCUGCCACCAGAGUGAUGAAGGGAUCCCAAGAAAGACCUUGGGGCGAACAGGAGACAGCUGGAUGCAAAGGGCCCAGAUGCCAUGAAGGACCUGGAGGGAUUGUACAGACCAGAGGCUCAGUUCAUCGGUGGAUCACCUGCACUGGGUUCUGUUGGCACCACAAAAUUCAUAAAUAAAGGCCCAGAAGGAAGAGUAAAAACCACCAUCUAAUAUGAUGACCACGGUCACCACAACCCUCAAAACCCAGAGGGAUGGACAGUUCUAGACAAUAUGUCACCGGCACAAGCGGAAUACACACUCAGCAAACCAGCCAGGUCCUCAGCUAGGUCAGUCCUGGGAGCUCAAGCUGAGAGGUUUCGUGGGAAAGUCUUUUAUAUGAUGAGUGGCAUUAACAGAUUACACAAGAAAAGCCAUAUAAUCAUCUCAAAAUCAUUGUAAAAGCAUUUAAUGCACUCCAAACACAAAUUAAGACUCUGUUAAAAGCUCCCAGUAGGGCUCGGGGUGUAGCUCAGCUGCUAGAGUGCUUACGUAGCACGUACAGACUCUGGGA
This 849-nucleotide long non-coding RNA is filed under the name Cricetulus griseus (Chinese hamster). Its description in RNAcentral is "lncRNA (ENSCGRG00015038917.1)". Lineage: Eukaryota; Metazoa; Chordata; Mammalia; Rodentia; Cricetidae. The record is from RNAcentral.